ACGGAGGGUGCAAGCGUUAUUCGGAUUUAUUGGGUGUAAAGGGCGCGUAGGCGGCUUAUCAGGUCGGAUGUGAAAGCCCGCAGCUUAACGGCGGAAGUGCAUCCGAAACCGGCAGGCUUGAGUAUGGGAGAGGGAAGCGGAAUUCCCGGUGUAGAGGUGAAAUGAGUAGAUAUCGGGAGGAACACCUGUGGCGAGAGCGGUUUACAGGACCAAUACUGACGCUGAUGCGCGAAGGCGCGGGGAUCAAACAG
RNAcentral lists this ribosomal RNA (251 nucleotides) under uncultured prokaryote. RNAcentral describes it as "partial 16S rRNA". It matches the Rfam family "Bacterial small subunit ribosomal RNA", at positions 525 to 775 of the family's 1533-position model. The record is from RNAcentral.